GACAGAGGGUGCAAGCGUUGUUCGGAAUUAUUGGGCGUAAAGCGCGCGUAGGCGGCUAGGUCAGUCGAAUGUGAAAUCCCGUGGCUCAACCAUGGAAGUGCAUUCGAAACUGCCUGGCUCGAGUGUCGGAGAGGGUGGUGGAAUUCCCAGUGUAGAGGUGAAAUUCGUAGAUAUUGGGAGGAACACCAGUGGCGAAGGCGACCGCCUGGACGACAACUGACGCUGAGGCGCGAGAGCGUGGGGAGCAAACAGG
RNAcentral lists this ribosomal RNA (253 nucleotides) under uncultured bacterium. Its description in RNAcentral is "partial 16S ribosomal RNA". It matches the Rfam family "Bacterial small subunit ribosomal RNA", at positions 524 to 776 of the family's 1533-position model. The record is from RNAcentral.